This 76-nucleotide transfer RNA is filed under the name Coxiella-like endosymbiont. Its description in RNAcentral is "tRNA-His". It matches the Rfam family "tRNA". Rfam says of the family: Transfer RNA (tRNA) molecules are approximately 80 nucleotides in length. Their secondary structure includes four short double-helical elements and three loops (D, anti-codon, and T loops). Further hydrogen bonds mediate the characteristic L-shaped molecular structure. tRNAs have two regions of fundamental functional importance: the anti-codon, which is responsible for specific mRNA codon recognition, and the 3' end, to which the tRNAs corresponding amino acid is attached (by aminoacyl-tRNA synthetases). tRNAs cope with the degeneracy of the genetic code in two manners: having more than one tRNA (with a specific anti-codon) for a particular amino acid; and 'wobble' base-pairing, i.e. permitting non-standard base-pairing at the 3rd anti-codon position. Lineage: Bacteria; Pseudomonadati; Pseudomonadota; Gammaproteobacteria; Legionellales; Coxiellaceae. The record is from RNAcentral.
GUGGACGUAGCUCAGUUGGUAGAGCCCCGGAUUGUGAUUUCGGUUGUCGUGGGUUCGAGUCCCAUCGUUCACCCCA